UAGGUCUAAUCUGCUCAGUGAUUAUUUAAAUAGCUGCAGUAUUUUGACUGUACAAAGGUAGCAUAAUCAUUUGUCUUUUAAUUGGAGGCUUGUAUGAAUGAUUGGACGAGAAAUAAUCUUUCUUUAUUUAAUAAUUUUGAAUUUAAUUUUUUAGUUAAAAAGCUAAAAUUUAUUUGUAAGACGAGAAGACCCUAUAGAAUUUUAUUUUGUUUUUUAUAUUUUAUUUUAUUUUUAAAGUAGAUUAUUUUUAGCAAAAUUUGGUUGGGGUGACUGUGAAAAUUUAUUAACUUUCAUUUUUAUGUUUCAUAAAUUAAUGUUUAUAUUGAUCCUGUUUUAUAGAUUAAAAGAUUAAAUUACCUUAGGGAUAACAGCGUAAUUUUUUUGGAGAGUUCUUAUCGAUAAAAGAGUUUGCGACCCUCGAUGUUGGAUUAAAGUAAGAUUUUGGUGCAAGUGCUAAAAUUNCUAGGUCUGUUCG
Molecule: ribosomal RNA, 475 nt
Filed under: Oncopeltus fasciatus (milkweed bug)
Lineage: Eukaryota; Metazoa; Arthropoda; Insecta; Hemiptera; Lygaeidae
Description: partial 16S ribosomal RNA
Rfam family: Bacterial large subunit ribosomal RNA
Source: RNAcentral